Molecule: ribosomal RNA, 253 nt
Filed under: uncultured bacterium
Lineage: Bacteria
Description: partial 16S ribosomal RNA
Rfam family: Bacterial small subunit ribosomal RNA
Source: RNAcentral
UACGGAGGGGGCUAGCGUUAUUCGGAAUUACUGGGCGUAAAGCGCACGUAGGCGGAUCAGAAAGUCAGAGGUGGAAUCCCAGGGCUCAACCUUGGAACUGCCUUUGAAACUCCUGGUCUUGAGGUCGAGAGAGGUGAGUGGAAUUCCGAGUGUAGAGGUGAAAUUCGUAGAUAUUCGGAGGAACACCAGUGGCGAAGGUGGCUCACUGGCUCGAUACUGACGCUGAGGUGCGAAAGCGUGGGGAGCAAACAGG